GCCUACGGGUGGCAGCAGUGGGGAAUAUUGGACAAUGGGGGCAACCCUGAUCCAGCAAUGCCGCGUGAGUGAUGAAGGCCUUAGGGUUGUAAAGCUCUUUUACCAGGGAUGAUAAUGACAGUACCGGGAGAAUAAGCUCCGGCUAACUCCGUGCCAGCAGCCGCGGUAAUACGGAGGGAGCUAGCGUUGUUCGGAAUUACUGGGCGUAAAGCGCACGUAGGCGGCUUUGUAAGUUAGAGGUGAAAGCCUGGAGCUUAACUCCAGAAUUGCCUUUAAGACUGCAUCGCUUGAAUCCGGGAGAGGUGAGUGGAAUUCCGAGUGUAGAGGUGAAAUUCGUAGAUAUUCGGAAGAACACCAGUGGCGAAGGCGGCUCACUGGACCGGUAUUGACGCUGAGGUGCGAAAGCGUGGGGAGCAAACAGGAUUAGAUACCCCGGUAGUCGG
RNAcentral lists this ribosomal RNA (443 nucleotides) under uncultured Sphingomonadaceae bacterium. RNAcentral describes it as "bacterial SSU rRNA". It matches the Rfam family "Bacterial small subunit ribosomal RNA", at positions 337 to 797 of the family's 1533-position model. The record is from RNAcentral. Lineage: Bacteria; Pseudomonadati; Pseudomonadota; Alphaproteobacteria; Sphingomonadales; Sphingomonadaceae.